RNAcentral lists this long non-coding RNA (2407 nucleotides) under Nicotiana tabacum (common tobacco). RNAcentral describes it as "long non-coding RNA (NTAB_LNC001081)". Lineage: Eukaryota; Viridiplantae; Streptophyta; Magnoliopsida; Solanales; Solanaceae. The record is from RNAcentral.
GAAAUCUUCCUAAAAUUAAAUAAAAGCAUGUAAAAACGCACAUGGGUUUGAAAGUGUUCUAAAAAUCAUAUAAAUAGACCAAUAAUAACAAUUGAGUCACCGUGCUAAAACCACGGAAUUCGGGAAUGCCUAACACCUUCUCCCGGGUUAACAGAAUUCCUUAUCCGAAUUUCUGGUUCGCGGAUUGUAAUACAGAGUCAAAUUUUUCCUCGAUUUGGGAUUUGAACCGGUGACUUGGGACACCAUAAAUUAUCCCAAGUGGCGACUCUGAUUCUUAGAUAAAUAAUCUCGUUUCGAUUGUCACUUUAAGUUGGAAAAAAACUCCCUUAUACCCUUUCCGGGGUAGGUAAAAAGGGAGGUGUGACAAGAUGAAGUUACCCUUCCUUAUAGCACCUGAACUUAAGAAACCAUAUUAUUAAAAGAUUUGGCAUUUGUUUCAGUUACAUAUGCAAUUAAAAAAACAACGAUUUGAAAAAACUUACCUGUUUCAACUUUUUGGGUGUAUUUCUUAACUUGAUUAGUAGAUGAAGGCAAUGGAAUAUCAACUUCCAUGUACUCUUUAUCAAGAACGAUGUUGUUUUUAUGUAUCAUUCCUUGACUAGAAAACGUGGUAGAUUUUUUAAGCCCCUGUCCUCGUCCCUUCCCUGUAGCACCUGUCAAAAAGAAAUCAGAUUACUAGCACUUCGGCAUUAAAAUUCAGUUAUGCAAAUUAAAAAUAUUAUAUUUAAAAAGUCUUAGUUGUUUCAAUUAUUUGGAUGUAUUACUUAAUUAGAUCACUAGAUUGAGGAAAUAAACUCUUAGUUGGCAUAUUCUCCUACUCAACGAAAGAUUUAAGUCCUCGUCCUCGUCCCUUUCCUAUAGCUCCUGGCACGACGAGUGCAUAUUUGGCAGCAAUCCUCGUAGUUGAUCCCACCUUAUUUUGCAUCCAUUGCUUACUAGGUUCCAUAACCUUGGAGAGUAGAUAAAAAUUAGAUUAAAAAAAUAUAAAAGACAGGAAAAAUACUAAGAUGAACACAAGUUAUUACAAUAUGCACAAAAUUAUGUUGAAGUCUAAGGUCGCACUAGAGGAUUAGGCUUCUUUAUCUUUUUAGUUAAUGCAUUGUAAUGUACAUCAGAUGAAAAUGCUUGCCAUUUUAAAAUUUCAAAAAAUACUGAGAGUAUAAUCUUAUACUUGUUUCAAUAGUUUAGAAAUAUUACUGGAAAAGAAAAUAAUGAUAUCAAACAAAGAAAUGUGAUAUAUAUUUGCAACAAGGUACAUUUUUCAAUCUUGCUUACAGGAAUACUACUUGCUGAAGACAAAGACUCGCCAAUUGAGCACAAGGGUGAGGUUGACUAUAUUAGACAUGAAGUUCAGGAUUUCUAUCUCGAUUUCUAAACCGAAUAUAGUAAGGUCAGACGAUAUAUUAGGUGUGAAUAUCAACCAAUUGGGUUGACUCCUGUGAAAUUUCCUUCUUAAAUUCCUAACCAUAUCCAUAACAAAAGAUAAAGUAGUAAGUAUAAUAUUUAAGAAGCUUUUUCCAAGGGUUCAUGGUCUCUGACUCCUUUACAUUAAACUACUGCUACUUUCUAGUAAUACCAUCGAGACUCAACCUCUACCAGUUGUAGAUAGUUGUCCCAAUAUUCCCCAUGUGACCCUACACUCCCCCUAUCCCCCGAGUAUUAAUCUUCCUCCGAGCAAUAAAUUAGGCUAAUCUCUUUUUUGCAUUUUUCUUGCAACUCCUUUCCAUAUACUUUCCCCCAAACUACAAACAUGAACAAAUAUAAAUAUACAUUUACCCUAUUUGAAGAUUAAUUCUUCAAACACACAGUAUGCUACAAAUAUGAGUAUACUUCAGAGAAAUCAAAUUAGGAAUCCCAAUCCAAUAAUAUAUUUAUUGAUUAUACAAAAAAGAAACGAAAUUAUGAAACAUUUUACCAAUUUAAUGUCAGAGAAGAAGGAGAAGAAGGACUUAGAGAAGAAAAAGAGCAACUCAGAAGAGGAAGCAUACUUGGGUUUCACAAAUGAGCGAGGUUGAAAACUAGGGUAGACCUGCGAUUUUUUAGGAUCGAAAACCCGAGUAGUGCGGAAUUUAGCCAAACAAUAUUAUAAUGACAAUAACAAAGACAAUGCCAGUUGAUAAUAAUGGUAAUUAAAGCAGAUAAAGAAGACACCAAUUUAAUGUGGUUCGGUCAGUGUGACCUAUGUCCACAAGCGGAGAGGAGCAAUUUCACUAUAACAAUAAGAGUACAAAAGAGAGUACAAAAUUAGAGUAAAAACUCUAAUUAUUCCCAAAUAUCCCAAAAGAAUAAUCUCACAAGAUCACUCCAAAGAAGGGUUCACACAAGUAUUUUCCGACACUCAACUCUCUUACAAAAUAAUCUUAAUUCCUAAAGAAGGAGGAGAAGAACAAGAAAUGAAUAAUUCAAA